GUAAGACCAAGAGCAUCACCACCCACAGCAUCGUACCAAACCUUGACCACAUCGGGAAAUCCUUUCUCGAUAUCGGCAAUAAAGCACCUUACUGGAUCAAAAUUCACCAUCAGCUUACUUUUCAGUUCCCCAGAGUUCACUUUGAAGUCUCGAGGAGAAAAGAAAGGAUGGAAAAUCUUGGAUGCAUGCCCACGCACCACACAUCGCUCUUGUUCAAGUUCG
RNAcentral lists this unclassified non-coding RNA (222 nucleotides) under Hevea brasiliensis (rubber tree). The record is from RNAcentral. Lineage: Eukaryota; Viridiplantae; Streptophyta; Magnoliopsida; Malpighiales; Euphorbiaceae.